This 440-nucleotide ribosomal RNA is filed under the name uncultured bacterium. Its description in RNAcentral is "partial 16S ribosomal RNA". It matches the Rfam family "Bacterial small subunit ribosomal RNA", at positions 338 to 795 of the family's 1533-position model. The record is from RNAcentral.
CCUACGGGUGGCUGCAGUGGGGAAUAUUGCACAAUGGCGGAAACCCUGAUGCAGCGACGCCGCGUGAGUGAAGAAGUAUUUCGGUAUGUUAAGCUCUAUCAGCAGGGAAGAAAAUGACGGUUCCUGAUUUAGAAGCCCCGGCUAACUACGUGCCAGCAGCCGCGGUAAUACGUAGGGGGCAAGCGUUAUCCGGAUUUACUGGGUGUAAAGGGAGCGUAGACGGCAGCGCAAGUCUGAAGGGAAAUGCCGGGGCUUAACCCCGGAACGGCGUUGGAAACUGUGCAGCUAGAGUGCAGGAGAGGUAAGUGGAAUUCCUGGUGUAGCGGUGAAAUGCGUAGAUAUUAGGAGGAACACCAGUGGCGAAGGCGGCUUACUGGACUGUAACUGACGUUGAGGCUCGAAAGCGUGGGGAGCAAACAGGAUUAGAUACCCUUGUAGUC